Molecule: ribosomal RNA, 483 nt
Filed under: uncultured bacterium
Lineage: Bacteria
Description: bacterial SSU rRNA
Rfam family: Bacterial small subunit ribosomal RNA
Source: RNAcentral
GAAAAACGCAAGUGACGUGCCUAACACAUGCAAAUUUAAUAGUUAUUUUUUAACUAUAGUGAAUUGGUGAGUAAUAUAUGAAAAUUUAAUUUUAGAUUAGAAAUAUUCCUAAUAACUUAGGGUUAAUUUCUGAUAAGCGCAUUUGUGCUUUAAAAAGUUAAUACUGUCUAAAAAAAAGUUCAUAUCUGAUUAGCUAGUUAGUAAGGUAAUAGCUUACUAAGGCGAAGAUCAGUAGCUGCCCUGAGAGGGGGAUCGGCCACACUGGGACUGAGACACGGCCCAGACUCCUACGGGAGGCAGCAGUAGGGAAUCUUCCGCAAUGGACGAAAGUCUGACGGAGCAACGCCGCGUGAGUGAUGAAGGCUUUCGGGUCGUAAAACUCUGUUGUUAGGGAAGAACAAGUGCUAGUUGAAUAAGCUGGCACCUUGACGGUACCUAACCAGAAAGCCACGGCUAACUACGUGCCAGCAGCCGCCGUAAUAC